Molecule: unclassified non-coding RNA, 158 nt
Filed under: uncultured Ascomycota
Lineage: Eukaryota; Fungi; Ascomycota
Description: sequence contains ITS1
Source: RNAcentral
CAGAGAUUCCCUGCCCUCUUGGGUAGACCUCCAACCCCUUGCAUAUCAUACCAUUGUUGCUUUGGCAGGCCCGUCUCCGACCGCCGGUGUACUCUGGCCAGCGCCUGCCAGAGGAUCCAACUCUGAAUACAUGUUGUCCGAGCACUAUAAAAAAGUUA